UACGAAGGGGGCUAGCGUUGCUCGGAAUCACUGGGCGUAAAGGGUGCGUAGGCGGGUCUUUAAGUCAGGGGGGAAAUCCUGGAGCUCAACUCCAGAACUGCCUUUGAUACUGAAGAUCUUGAGUUCGGGAGAGGUGAGUGGAACUGCGAGUGUAGAGGUGAAAUGCGUAGAUAUCUGGAGGAACACCGGUGGCGAAGGCGACAUCCUGGACCGGCAUUGACGCUGAGGCGCGAAAGCCAGGGGAGCAAACGGG
Molecule: ribosomal RNA, 253 nt
Filed under: uncultured bacterium
Lineage: Bacteria
Description: partial 16S ribosomal RNA
Rfam family: Bacterial small subunit ribosomal RNA
Source: RNAcentral